Molecule: long non-coding RNA, 706 nt
Organism: Phalaenopsis equestris
Lineage: Eukaryota; Viridiplantae; Streptophyta; Magnoliopsida; Asparagales; Orchidaceae
Exons: 3
Source: RefSeq, a predicted model, not a curated record
UCACACCUUCCUUUUCGAGCCAAAGCCCGUCCCGUAUUCACUAAAUGUUAGAUUAAAUCCAGGUUAAAUCCACCGAUUUACGGGGUUGAGUUAAUCCGGGAUUUAAGGGCGAAAUCAGUGAAAUCCGGAUUUAUCAAAUAUGUGGUUUGAUUUUGUUCAGAAUGACUGUCUGGCAAAAUUUAGGUUAAAUCCUGCUCUAAAUCUGUUACCAGACAGCCCCUAAGUGAAUUAAUGUCAAUGUUUUUGACAUAGGCAGUGGUGAUGAUGCUCAGCUAUAUUUUCGUUUAACGGAAAGUAGUUAAGGUCACUGCUUUCCUCCUACAGUCUAUAAUGGCGAGGCAUUAUGGAUGGGCUUAAGAGGCAACCGGUGCAGCCGGCAUCUAUUUUGACCUUUUAGGGCUUCAGUUAAGUGGUCCGAGUGAAAGCAAGUUCUCUACUUUAAGGGGCUGUUUCUGUUUUCGUGGAAUGCAGCAAGCGUUGGGCCGUGGGGUUCUUUUCAGUGAAGCAGCAAUGUGGCUGUUUGGCUCCAAAAAUGAUUAAAAUUUGAAACUUCAGGCGGUGGAUGUACCUCAAGGCAUUCAUGAACUAAGGUGAUCCGAGUCAAAUUAAAAAUCGCCCGUAGCUUCCGUUUCAGCAUACUUAUAGGAAACUGCCAGCACUACGAGAUGAAUCCAAUGACAUCAAAAUUGAUCCAAUUUGAGUGAAA